This 364-nucleotide ribosomal RNA is filed under the name uncultured fungus. Its description in RNAcentral is "eukaryotic LSU rRNA". It matches the Rfam family "Eukaryotic large subunit ribosomal RNA", at positions 40 to 398 of the family's 3401-position model. The record is from RNAcentral. Lineage: Eukaryota; Fungi.
AUAUCAAUAAGCGGAGGAAAAGAAACUAACAAGGAUUCCCCUAGUAACGGCGAGUGAAGAGGGAAAAGCUCAAAUUUUGAAUCUGGUGUCUUUGACUCCCGAGUUGUAAUCUAGAGAAGUGUUUUCCGUGUCGGACCGUGCACAAGUUCCCUGGAACGGGGCGUCAUAGAGGGUGAGAAUCCCGUAUAUGGCAUGGACUACCGAUGCUUUUGUGAUACACUCUCAACGAGUCGAGUUGUUUGGGAAUGCAGCUCAAAAUGGGUGGUAAAUUCCAUCUAAAGCUAAAUAUUGGCGAGAGACCGAUAGCGAACAAGUACCGUGAGGGAAAGAUGAAAAGCACUUUGGAAAGAGAGUGAAACAGUAC